RNAcentral lists this long non-coding RNA (1295 nucleotides) under Salmo salar (Atlantic salmon). RNAcentral's name for it is "lncRNA (ENSSSAG00000105346.1, ENSSSAG00020077315.1)". The record is from RNAcentral. Lineage: Eukaryota; Metazoa; Chordata; Actinopteri; Salmoniformes; Salmonidae.
CUGGAUAGGCCAGAAAAUGUGACACGUCACUCCCUAUGUAAAUGUUCGGUGCGAGCUCUGCUGACAAAGUGGUAACGGAAAACAGACAGACUAUAAUGCCCGGGCAUAUGCUACAUGAUUUUGCCAUGAAUUAGAACCGUUUUUGUCAUCCCAGACAAAGUUUCGUGAUCGGGGGGAAAUCCUAUGAACUUGGGCUAGGAGCAGUGCAAUGGGAUCAGGUAGUUUGAGCUGGGAAAGGACGAAACCGAUGAUGGCUGUUCUCUUCUCCAGACCCUUGUCGGUUGUCCCGAUAAUUUUCUGACAUGUCAGAAGGGUUGGUCGUUCAUCUUGUAGUAUGAGCAGUGCUACGACGCAAUUGGGCAAGGACUACUGCCAAUAGCCAAUGAGCAUUCAGCAUGUGAGACCCAAAACAAUGACGGCGAAGAGGAAAGCAACAUCAACGUGCACCGUAUGGACCAAGGUGAUGGAAGACAGAUUGGUGGAGCUGUGGAGAGAAUGCAGCAGCCUUUUCAAUAUUACCUCUGUGUCCCACCAUGACAGAAACCAAAAAGAUAAAGGCUGGAAUGAAAUACCCUCUGCCCUUCAGCAACCUGGUAACCAUGGUUGACAGAGGAAGAACAAUGAUUCCAAGCACCACCCUCCUUUUGAAGCUUCCAGUCUGUAAUUCGAACUCAAUCAGCAUGACAGAGAGCUCUCCAGCCUUGUCCUCGUCAACACUCACACCUGUGUUACCGAGAGAAUCACUGACAUGAUGUCAGCUGGUCCUAUUGUGGCAGGGCUGAAAUGCAGUGGAACUGUUUUUGGGGAUUCAGUUCAUUUGCAUGGCAAAGAGGGACUUUGCAAUGAAUUGCAAUUCAUCUGAUCACUCUUCAUAACAUUCUGGAGUAUAUGCAAAUUGCCAUCAUACAAACUGAAGCAGCAGACUGUGAAAAUGUAUAUUUGUGUCAUUCUCAAAACUUUUGGUCAUGACUGUACAGUUGCAAAGAAAAAGCCAUAUCUCAGACUGGCCCAAAAAAUAAAAGAUUAAGAUCAGCAAAAGAACACAGACACUGGACAGAGGAACUCGGCCUAGAAGGCCAGCAUCCCGGUGUCGCCUCUUCACUGUUGACGUUGAGACGUGUUUUGUGUGUACUAUUUAAUAAAGCUGCCAGUUGAGGACUUGUGAGGCAUCUGUUUCUCAAACUAGAAACUCUAAUAUACUUGUCCUCUUGCUCAGUUCUGCACCGGGGUCUCCCACUCCUCCUUCUAUUCUGGUUAGAAGGAGUUUGCACUGUUCUGUGAAGGGAGUAGUACAC